This 437-nucleotide ribosomal RNA is filed under the name Schizocosa ocreata. Its description in RNAcentral is "partial 16S ribosomal RNA". Lineage: Eukaryota; Metazoa; Arthropoda; Arachnida; Araneae; Lycosidae. The record is from RNAcentral.
UUUUAUUAGAAAUAAUUAAUAAUAAAGUCUGCUCAAUGAAAAUUAAAUAGCCGCUUAUGUGCUAAGGUAGCAUAAUAAUUUGUCUUUUAAUUAAAGACUAGAACAAAAGACUUAACAUCUUAAAUAAUCUUUAUAUAAAAAUUAUUUAAAUUAUUUUAAUUGUAAAAAAACAAUUAUUUAAUAGAAAGACGAUAAGACCCUAUCGAACUUUACUUUAGUUUAACUGGGGUAGUUAAUUAAUUAUUAUUUUAAAAAAACUAAAUUUUCAAUUUGACCUAAUAUAAUUAACCAAAUAAUUAAGUUACCGUAGGGAUAACAGCACAAUAAAGUUUUUUAGAUCUUAUUUAAAAUAAAGAUUGUGACCUCGAUGUUGAUUAAUAUCCUAUUUCACGCAAUAGUAAAACUAAGGAAGUCUGUUCGACUUUUAAAAAAUUACA